AUUCAUUGGGUUUAAAGGGUGCGUAGGCGGCUUCUUAAGUCAGUGGUGAAAUCCUGUCGCUUAACGAUAGAAUUGCCAUUGAUACUGAAAAGCUUGAGUACAAUUGAGGUAAGCGGAAUGUGUAGUGUAGCGGUGAAAUGCUUAGAUAUUACACAGAACACCGAUUGCGAAGGCAGCUUACUAAACUGUUACUGACGCUGAUGCACGAAAGCGUGGGGAGCGAACAGGAUUAGAUACCCUGGUAGUCCACGCCGUAAACGAUGAUCACUCGCUGUAUGCGAUACACAGUAUGCGGCCAAGCGAAAGCAUUAAGUGAUCCACCUGGGGAGUACGAUCGCAAGGUUGAAACUCAAAGGAAUUGACGGGGGCCCGCACAAGCGGAGGAACAUGUGGUUUAAUUCGAUGAUACGCGAGGAACCUUACCUGGGCUUAAAUGGGGAACGACAGCUGCCGAAAGGUGGCCUUCUUCGGACGUUCUUCAAGGUGCUGCAUGGUUGUCGUCAGCUCGUGCCGUGAGGUGUCGGGUUAAGUCCCAUAACGAGCGCAACCCUUAUCGUUAGUUGCCAGCGGGUCAUGCCGGGGACUCUAGCGAGACUGCCACCGUAAGGUGUGAGGAAGGUGGGGAUGACGUCAAAUCAGCACGGCCCUUAUGUCCAGGGCUACACACGUGUUACAAUGGCCAAUACAAAGGGCAGCUACCAGGUGACUGGAUGCUAAUCUCUAAAGUUGGUCUCAGUUCGGAUCGAAGUCUGCAACCCGACUUCGUGAAGCUGGAUUCGUCUAGUAAUCGCAUAUCAGCCAUGAUGCGGUGAAUACGUUCC
This 821-nucleotide ribosomal RNA is filed under the name uncultured Bacteroidota bacterium. RNAcentral describes it as "bacterial SSU rRNA". It matches the Rfam family "Bacterial small subunit ribosomal RNA", at positions 549 to 1374 of the family's 1533-position model. The record is from RNAcentral. Lineage: Bacteria; Pseudomonadati; Bacteroidota.